RNAcentral lists this ribosomal RNA (930 nucleotides) under uncultured archaeon. RNAcentral describes it as "bacterial SSU rRNA". It matches the Rfam family "Archaeal small subunit ribosomal RNA", at positions 10 to 903 of the family's 1478-position model. The record is from RNAcentral.
GAUCCUGCCGGACCCGACUGCUAUCGGAUUGAGAUUUAGCCAUGCGAGCUUCGAUAACGCCCUCUGAGUGCAGGGGAUGCAGUGGUGCAUACGGCUCAGUAACACGUAGUCAACCUGCCCUAGAGAUGUGGACAACCCCGGGAAACUGGGUGUAAUUCACAAUAGGUCACCUCAUCUGGAAGGAGAGAUGGCUGAAAGGGAUUUUGCGAGCUUCUUUCGCAUCAUCUGCUCUAGGAUGGGACUGCGGCCGAUCAGGCUGUUGGCGGGGUAAUGGCCCACCAAACCUUUUACCGGUACGGGCUUUGAGAGAAGGGGCCCGGAGAUGGACACUGAGACAAGGGUCCAGGUCCUACGGGGCGCAGCAGGCGCGAAACCUUCGCAAUGCGCGAAAGCGUGACGAGGUUAGUCCGAGUGGCUUCCGCUGAGGAGGUCUUUUGUCGGCUGUAAAAAGGCCGGCGAAUAAGGGGAGGGCAAGUCUGGUGUCAGCCGCCGCGGUAAUACCAGCUCCUCGAGUGGUCGGGGCGAUUAUUGGGCCUAAAGCAUCCGUAGCUUGUUCCGUAGGUCUCCUGAUAAAUCCAACUGCUCAACAGUUGGCCCGCAGGAGAUACCGCGGGACUAGGAGGCGGGAGAGGUGGACGGUACUCCACGUGUAGGGGUAAAAUCCUUUGAUCCGUGGAAGGCCACCAGUGGCGAAGGCGGUCCACCAGAACGCGCUCGACGGUGAGGGAUGAAAGCUGGGGGAGCGAACCGGAUUAGAUACCCGGGUAGUCCCAGCCGUAAACGAUGCGAGCUAGAUGAUCCAGUCGCAAAUCGCGAUUGGAGUGUCGCAGGGAAGCCGUUAAGCUCGCCGCCUGGGGAGUACGGUCGCAAGGCUGAAACUUAAAGGAAUUGGCGGGGGAGCACCACGAAGGUGGUGAAGCUCUGCGGUUC